GGGGGAAGAGCGGGCGGGCGCCGGGGGCGAGGGCCGGAGGAGGGGGCCCGGGGCGCGCGGGGCGCGCGGGGCGGCGGGUAGCUAGGAGACCCGCACGCCGCUGAUACUUGAAGCGCUGCCCGGAGGAGCUGACGGCGGCCGCUCCCUGUGUCCCUGCUCGGGACUCGGACCUCGCGCGCAAGGGAGGAGAAGCAGGGCCAGGACCUUUAGGGUUGGGUCUUAACCAACUCAGAGGAAGAGCAGUGGAGCGUGGGAUCCUCCAUCUCUCAUAAAUGUCUGUUCAUGUAUGACACACUUCUGACAGACCACCAAGGAAGAUAGAAAUAAUUUGAGUGCUUGCUAGUUGCCAUAGUUGAGGAAUAAAGAGAAAGCUGAGUGAGAAGAGGAAGGAAAGACUUAUGCAUCUGAAGAGAAAGGACUCUGGGCAGUCAAUCAUUUUCUCCACCACUGGCCUUACAAGAUUGUUAAUUACCUGCAACUAGGUGGCACAGUGACUUCUGUGAGAUAAGUAGAGGUAAGUGGGUCAGGCAUAAUAUGGAAAAGGGCACUUUGCAAAGACAUGUCACAUAACCGCAAUUGUUACUUAAACUGGUCUUCAUAUAUUUGCUAAUCUCUGAUUCCUCUCCAGAUGUCAAGGGCAAUGAGAAGGAUCCACUUAAG
Molecule: long non-coding RNA, 660 nt
Filed under: Zalophus californianus (California sea lion)
Lineage: Eukaryota; Metazoa; Chordata; Mammalia; Carnivora; Otariidae
Description: lncRNA (ENSZCAG00015013399.1)
Source: RNAcentral